Molecule: long non-coding RNA, 430 nt
Organism: Helicoverpa armigera (cotton bollworm)
Lineage: Eukaryota; Metazoa; Arthropoda; Insecta; Lepidoptera; Noctuidae
Exons: 2
Source: RefSeq, a predicted model, not a curated record
CCUGCGCAACGAACUCGUUUUGAUACUAGUGAGUUUUUAUUUUAUUUAUUAGUUAUAAUGAUCUGAUUGAAAUGUAAUAUACACAAGUAUUAACCCAUGAUAUUCUAAUGAGAAAAUGUUAUAGAUUGGGUUCUCUUUUUUUGAUGUUGGUUAUAUAGAAAUAUGUACGUAAAUGUCAUCGUCGUUAGUUUCGCUGUUGCAUAAUAAUAUUAUUGGAUAUCUUUGAUUCUUGCAGAAUAAUGAAAGCAUAUUUAAUUCAGAUUAUCAGACUCAAUCGGAUACCAGUACAAAUAAUAUGGAAAAUGAAGAUACAAUACAUGGAAGACGAAUUAUAGAUUUUAGUUUUUUUAUAAAUCAAUUACUUAUACCUAAUUGAUAAACAUGGUGAAAAGUUUGGUUGUCGAUUAAAUAAUUUAAAAAUUGUAAACGA